This 477-nucleotide ribosomal RNA is filed under the name uncultured Anaplasma sp. Its description in RNAcentral is "bacterial SSU rRNA". It matches the Rfam family "Bacterial small subunit ribosomal RNA", at positions 103 to 615 of the family's 1533-position model. The record is from RNAcentral. Lineage: Bacteria; Pseudomonadati; Pseudomonadota; Alphaproteobacteria; Rickettsiales; Anaplasmataceae.
CGGGUGAGUAAUGCAUAGGAAUCUGCCUGGUAGUGCGGGAUAGCCACUGGAAAUGGUGGGUAAUACCGCAUACUCCCUGCGGGGGAAAGAUUUAUCGCUACUAGAUGAGCCUAUGUUAGAUUAGCUAGUUGGUGGGGUAAUGGCCCACCAAGGCGGUGAUCUAUAGCUGGUUUGAGAGGACGAUCAGCCACACUGGAACUGAGAUACGGUCCAGACUCCUACGGGAGGCAGCAGUGGGGAAUAUUGGACAAUGGGCGCAAGCCUGAUCCAGCCAUGUCGCGUGAGUGAAGAAGGCCUUAGGGUUGUAAAACUCUUUCAGUGGGGAAGAUAAUGACGGUACCCACAGAAGAAGUCCCGGCAAACUCCGUGCCAGCAGCCGCGGUAAUACGGAGGGGGCGAGCGUUGUUCGGAAUCAUUGGGCGUAAAGGGCAUGUAGGCGGUUCGGUAAGUUAAAAGUGAAAUGCCAGGGCUCAACCU